GGGUCGUUAGCUCAGUUGGUUUGAGUUGAGCGCAGCGAAACAACGGAGCCGCUCGCGGCGACGGCCCGAAGGGCGAGCGAAGCGAGUCAUCCUGCACGACCCACCA
Molecule: transfer RNA, 106 nt
Filed under: Escherichia coli
Lineage: Bacteria; Pseudomonadati; Pseudomonadota; Gammaproteobacteria; Enterobacterales; Enterobacteriaceae
Description: tRNA-OTHER
Rfam family: RtT RNA
About the family: This family represents a bacterial cis-regulatory element known as RtT RNA. The exact function of RtT is unknown although it is thought that it may be involved in changing the cellular response in relation to amino acid starvation.
Source: RNAcentral